Apis cerana (Asiatic honeybee) is the source of this 1321-nucleotide long non-coding RNA. RefSeq lists it as uncharacterized. NCBI's taxonomy places the organism in Eukaryota, Metazoa, Arthropoda, Insecta, Hymenoptera, Apidae. The record is from RefSeq and is a predicted model, not a curated record.
UGUCCCCCAGGUUGCGCCACAGUCGAAAGUACUGUCGAUCUAUUGCUAUUCGCUAACCUAUGUCUCGUUGAGCACCAUUAUUCAGAUCAGGCAUUAGGAAGAUUCUUGUUUCUUCGUGUAAAAAUUUGUUCGGCCUCGCUUAUUCUUUGAAAUAGAUAGUUGUGGAAUAUCUUAGUUGUGAAAUGUUUGUUUGGUUUCUUAUAUGUGACAUAAAUGAAAUUUGUAUUUAGAAAUUUACUUGUGGACUCGAAGAUGUCUCGAUUCAAUGAAAAUUGUUUUAAAUGUUUAUUCAAGGAUUUGAAAACAAUCUCAAGAAUCAAAAUCUCUGUUUCUGAAUUUCGUCGACGGCGUCUAGAAUUCUAGAAUCCUUCCUUCACAUUGCGAGCUUCUUCGAAACGAAUGUAUUUAGCACCGAUCGAGGAUUAUUUUUAGUCAUUGCGUGUAUUUUUAGGGUCUCCAUCGCAUGUAAGUACAAAGUCGUCCAUCCGUGUACGCGUUGGGGUUCGCUGCGUCGAACUCUGCUUCGUCGACAAACUUCGCAAAAGGGUAGGGCAAAACUUUUUUUUUUUAUGUUUAUUAAUAAAGAAGAAGCACCGAGAAAAGACUCCGUGAAGCUUCAACCGUCGCUUUUCUGCUUUCUCCACUUUCUCUUUUUUUUUUUUUUUUCUCUCAGAAAAUGAAAAUUGUCAGAUCAAAUUUAGGCGGGUUACACGAUGCACGAUAGAAUAUUAUAUUUUGUAGCAUGGACAGUGUGAUGGUUCACGAUAAAAUUCACGAUUGAAACGUCAGAGUUGACUGACGAGAGCCAUUUAAUUAUCGGAUUGCUAGACUGACUCGAUUAACGUAUGCUCGAUGAUUUUCUCCCCUAUCACGCGAUAAUCGUUAAUGUAAUAACGGGGAAAAAAUCAGGCGGAAGAGUGUGAAUCAAACCCAGAGAAACAUCAGGCUUCAUAUUAAUAAUAGAGUAUAUAUCGUAUGAUAACGCAUCAGUGGAACCGGUUGUUGAAUGGAAGUUAUUAUCAUAGAUAAAUCGUGCCCUUGUAUCGUUACGUUGCAUUCUUGGUGGAUCUACAUUAUAUAUAUGUAAUAUAUAGUAUAAUGAACGUUUCAUAUAUAUAUAUAUAUAUAUGAUGUACAUAGAAUAAAAUAAAAAGUAAAAUAAAAUAAAAUACAAAAUAUAAUAAUAAUCUUAAAUAUAAAAUGUACAUAUAUAGAAUUAAAAAUUUAUAAAAUACAUGAAACUGUAAUAAUAUAUUACAUAGAUUCUUUGUAAUAUAAUAUAAAAGAAUUAAUUAUAAAUACAUGUUUUAAUUCAUAAUUA